GCCCGCCUAGCUCAAUCGGAUAGAGCGUCAGACUCUUAGGAGAUCACUUGGAUGGGCAUCUGAAGGCUGCGAGUUCGACCCUCGCGGUGGGCU
Amylocystis lapponica is the source of this 93-nucleotide non-coding RNA. The record is from the annotation of a GenBank genome assembly. NCBI's taxonomy places the organism in Eukaryota, Fungi, Basidiomycota, Agaricomycetes, Polyporales, Postiaceae.